GGUAUCAUGGUGAAAGGGUUAUCACUCUGGACUCCGAAUCCAACGAUCCGAGUACAAAUCUCGGUGACGCCU
This 72-nucleotide transfer RNA is filed under the name Ixodes scapularis (black-legged tick). Its description in RNAcentral is "tRNA-Arg for anticodon CCG". It matches the Rfam family "tRNA". Rfam says of the family: Transfer RNA (tRNA) molecules are approximately 80 nucleotides in length. Their secondary structure includes four short double-helical elements and three loops (D, anti-codon, and T loops). Further hydrogen bonds mediate the characteristic L-shaped molecular structure. tRNAs have two regions of fundamental functional importance: the anti-codon, which is responsible for specific mRNA codon recognition, and the 3' end, to which the tRNAs corresponding amino acid is attached (by aminoacyl-tRNA synthetases). tRNAs cope with the degeneracy of the genetic code in two manners: having more than one tRNA (with a specific anti-codon) for a particular amino acid; and 'wobble' base-pairing, i.e. permitting non-standard base-pairing at the 3rd anti-codon position. Lineage: Eukaryota; Metazoa; Arthropoda; Arachnida; Ixodida; Ixodidae. The record is from RNAcentral.